Molecule: long non-coding RNA, 92 nt
Filed under: Fukomys damarensis (Damara mole-rat)
Lineage: Eukaryota; Metazoa; Chordata; Mammalia; Rodentia; Bathyergidae
Description: lncRNA (ENSFDAG00000028958.1)
Source: RNAcentral
GACAGGUUCAAAAGACUUCCAUGAAAAGAAACUUAAGCACUGGACUAAGAAGAGGCUGAAGGAUCCAGAAAUACUAUUUGUGGAAGGAAGGG